Long non-coding RNA from Ipomoea triloba (trilobed morning glory), 1155 nucleotides. RefSeq lists it as uncharacterized. The record is from RefSeq and is a predicted model, not a curated record. The transcript is spliced from 2 exons. NCBI's taxonomy places the organism in Eukaryota, Viridiplantae, Streptophyta, Magnoliopsida, Solanales, Convolvulaceae.
UCUAGUUCUUACCCCCUCGAAUGCAUAUAGGCAUAUAUAGCUCUCUUCCUCAAAAGAAAUAUAUCCCUCAUUCCCUUUCUAAUAUACUAACCUCCCUCUUUUCUAUAUAUGCAUAUACAUAUCAAUAUCGAAUCUUUCUCAUUUUUAUAAUAUAUAAUUCUAGGUUUUUGAAUCAAUUAAAUCUUUGUCCAUUCAAUUCUAUCAUCAAUUUUUUUCUCUGUAUUGUCAGAUUUCUCAUCUUAUCAACAGAUUUGGUGCAUGCCCAUGACUGGGUUUAAACCAAUAUCUCUACAUUUAGGGUUCUUCCUGCCCAUCAAUUCUAAAUCUUUGAUAUAUAUAUAUAUAUAGAGAGAGAGAGAUGUAUUCGAUAUAUAUAUCACCAUUAUUCAAUUGAGAUUAGGCAGCCAUAUAUAUAUAUAUAUAUAUAUUAUGGGUUUUGUCGUGCAUGGAGGAGCAGCGCAGUCGUUGGUUUGCAGGUGCAGCAUCAUCAAGAUUCACCUACAAAAUCAAUCUGGCUAUAUAUAUAUAUAUAUAUAUGUCAUACAUAUGUAAGCUCCCAGGUUUGUACAGUACGAGAAUCUUGAUGAUGCUGCAUCAGCAAACAAUGGCUUACAUAUAUUUUCGCAAGAAUGCUAUAAAUAUGGCUCUGGGAAAGGGCACUUCACAGGCUUGAAUUGGUGGCUCUUUUUUCAUUUCUUAUUUCUUAAUGUCUUGUUUUCAGCUUCUGCAUUGAUCAUUUCAUUAAUCUGCAGAUCAAUUAACAUCUCAAUCAUUCUACCUUUUUUCUUUUCUUUUCUUUUCUUUUUUUUCAUGGAUUUUCAGCUGUUGAUGAUGACUUCGGGUGUUUCUUUUUUUCACUCCGGACCCGCUUUCAGUACUAGGUAUUUCUCUUCCUCUCAGUAAGAGCACAAAUGACAAGUAGUCAAGCUCAAGUUAGCCGUUGAAGUAAAGAACAAUCUAAAGCUCCACAUGAGUGGAGGAGUUGGAGACAAAAACAGUGCUGUCAUGGUACAAAAACCAGAUGGAAAGUCGUGAAUAAUGUUGCUUGAAGGUCCACUGAAAAGAGAUGCCCAAAAGGAAAAAACAAUGUCAUAAACGUUGUACUGAUCAUGAAUUGCAUAUCACCAAACAAUCAAUAUAAGUUUGAAAAGGAAA